CUGCACGGAGGAUGGGAUGUCAGGGCCAUGGGGGAAGAGCAGAGGCGAGCAUGGCAUGGGAAUGAAGGCUCAGUGCUCACGAGGCCGCGUCGGCGGCGUGGUUCAGGCGGAUGACUCUUGCUCGAUGGCGUGCAGCGGGAUGAUCUCUGCACCCUCGUCGCCUGCGUGGCAGGAGGGUCUGGGAACCAGUCUGAAGGACCGAGUACCCGCCAGCUACUCCCAUCUAAAUCCACAGCGUUGGUCAUGAAGCACACAUGGAUGGCACAGCUCCGGGUGCUACGGAAGAUUUAUAAUGGAAUAUGCUGACUACAGUAGAUUAUGUACUGAAGAACUUCCAUGAUUGAGAUCCUAUAGAGAUCAGCAGAGAAGGAUUUACGAGCAAAAAUAGCACCACAGGUGACUAGGGGCCCGAAUGUCCCAGGGUGUCAUGGUGUGCUAUAGUAGCCCUGUAGCCACGUCCAAAUUCAUGUUAAAGACAUGGAUGAAGUAAUCCUGAGGUCCUCCAUCACUAUCUAGAACACUUCACAUGUCCCGGCUUAAAUGAUGGGUAAAAUGUGGGACUGGAGUGGUGGCCUAGCAUGCUGAUUAUCCAACUGCAGUGCUGGCCUACCAUAUAGGCACUGGUUCUA
Ochotona princeps (American pika) is the source of this 629-nucleotide long non-coding RNA. RefSeq lists it as uncharacterized. The transcript has 4 exons. The record is from RefSeq and is a predicted model, not a curated record. NCBI's taxonomy places the organism in Eukaryota, Metazoa, Chordata, Mammalia, Lagomorpha, Ochotonidae.